Homo sapiens (human) is the source of this 569-nucleotide long non-coding RNA. Ensembl annotates it as RNF213 antisense RNA 1. Its record names the gene RNF213-AS1. The record is from Ensembl. Lineage: Eukaryota; Metazoa; Chordata; Mammalia; Primates; Hominidae.
UGGAGACGCUUGCGCUUUCCCGGGCCGCACUUCCCACCCGGGUCUUCAGAAGCCCGUGGCCGCUGGGUGAGCCCCUGCGUGAACGCACACGCACGCACACGGCUUCAGGUUGCCCCGCGGCGCCGCGCGCGAUAUCGGCUCGGAUCCCGGGAGGCCGUCCGCCCCUUUUUCAGCGGAUAGCUGAGGCCAGUUUUUAGUAUGAAAAACUGUAAACACGAAAUUAGAGGAAGAGUCCAGCACCUGCCAUUUGGCCACUGUCCAGACCUACUGUGUGCUUCUUGGGGAAAAACUUUACAGCUUUGAAUGGCUGAGAGGUUUGGAAAGAAACAGCUCAGUCCCCAUGGCCCGGAUGGAGAGAGGAUCCCUGCAGGCAGGUCCCCAUGCUGCCACCAGAUUGGAGCCACUCCUUGCUUCCUUUAGUCACAGUACCUGAAUGUGCCCGCCUCCUGGAGAGCGUCCUGGUUGCAGGCUUCCCUUGCCAACCACUCCAGAGGGUGAAACUGGCUCUCUUCUUGCUUCUUUAAAAAGACACUGAGGCGCAUCUUGGAUACCCGCAAGAAAGAGGCUGU